RNAcentral lists this unclassified non-coding RNA (128 nucleotides) under uncultured fungus. RNAcentral's name for it is "sequence contains ITS1". The record is from RNAcentral. Lineage: Eukaryota; Fungi.
UUAUUUGUUUAUAAUGUAUUACAUUCAGAGACAAUUGUGUGUGUAGGCCGAAGCCACGGUGCACAGAGGUGUUAAAAGCCCGAGAGCUUAUAUCUAUAAUGAUCCUUCCGCAGGUUCACCUACGGAAA